RNAcentral lists this ribosomal RNA (545 nucleotides) under Naganishia uzbekistanensis. RNAcentral's name for it is "eukaryotic LSU rRNA". It matches the Rfam family "Eukaryotic large subunit ribosomal RNA", at positions 104 to 636 of the family's 3401-position model. The record is from RNAcentral. Lineage: Eukaryota; Fungi; Basidiomycota; Tremellomycetes; Filobasidiales; Filobasidiaceae.
GCAGCAUCAGAUUUGCAAUCUGGUAGCCUUCGGCUGCCCGAGUUGUAAUCUAGAGAAGUGUUUUCCGUGCCGGCCCAUGUACAAGUCCCUUGGAACAGGGCGUCAUAGAGGGUGAGAAUCCCGUCCUUGACAUGGACCCCCGGUGCUUUGUGAUACACUUUCAACGAGUCGAGUUGUUUGGGAAUGCAGCUCAAAAUGGGUGGUGAAUUCCAUCUAAAGCUAAAUAUUGGCGAGAGACCGAUAGCGAACAAGUACCGUGAGGGAAAGAUGAAAAGCACUUUGGAAAGAGAGUUAAACAGUACGUGAAAUUGUUGAAAGGGAAACGAUUGAAGUCAGUCAUGCUCUUUGGAUUCAGCCGUUCUGCGGUGUAUUUCCAUUGAGUGGGGUCAACAUCAGUUUUGACCGCUGGAUAAAGGCACUAGGAAGGUAGCACUCUCGGGUGAACUUAUAGCCUAGCGUCAUAUACAGUGGUUGGGACUGAGGAACGCAGCAUGCCUUUAUGGCCGGGAUUCGUCCACGUACAUGCUUAGGAUGUUGACAUAAUG